GUUUAGUCUCUUGGGGAAUCUAGCCGGCUCACCGAUCGGGCGUCUAAGGGAUACUGGCAAUCUAUGGACCGGGAGAGGUGAGGGGUACUCCAGGGGGAAGGAGGGAAUUCCGGUAUCCUUCGGGGGACCACCUGUGGCGAAGGCGCCUCACUAGAACGGCUCCGACAGUGAGGGACGAAAGCUGGGGGAGCAAACCGGAUUAGAUACCCGGGUAGUCCCAGCUGUAAACUAUGCGCGUUAGGUGUAUCGGUGACCACGAGUCACCGAGGUGCCGAAGAGAAAUCGUGAAACGUGCCGCCUGGGAAGUACGGUCGCAAGGCUGAAACUUAAAGGAAUUGGCGGGGGAGCACCACAACAGGUGGAGCCUGCGGUUUAAUUGGACUCAACGCCAGGAAGCUCACCGGAUAAGACAGCUGAAUGAUUGUCGGGCUGAAGACUCUGCUUGACUAGCUGAGAGGAGGUGCAUGGCCGUCGUCAGUUCGUACUGUGAAGCAUCCUGUUAAGUCAGGCAACGAGCAAGACCCACGCCAACAGUUGCCAGCAUGGUCUCCGGACUGGUGGGGACACUGUUGGGACCGCCUCUGCUAAAGAGGAGGAAGGAAUGGGCAACGGUAGGUCAGCAUGCCCCGAAUUAUCCGGGCUACACGCGGGCUACAAUGGGCAGGACAAUGGGCAUCGACACCGAAAGGUGAAGGCAAUCUCCUAAACCUGUCCUUAGUUCGGAUUGUGGGCUGCAACUCGCCCACAUGAAGCUGGAAUCUGUAGUAAUCGCGUCUCAAAAUGGCGCGGUGAAUAUGUCCCUGCUCCUUGCAC
RNAcentral lists this ribosomal RNA (813 nucleotides) under uncultured archaeon. RNAcentral's name for it is "bacterial SSU rRNA". It matches the Rfam family "Archaeal small subunit ribosomal RNA", at positions 532 to 1342 of the family's 1478-position model. The record is from RNAcentral.